RNAcentral lists this ribosomal RNA (207 nucleotides) under uncultured bacterium. RNAcentral describes it as "partial 16S ribosomal RNA". It matches the Rfam family "Bacterial small subunit ribosomal RNA", at positions 568 to 774 of the family's 1533-position model. The record is from RNAcentral.
CGCGUAGGCGGUUUGGUAAGUCGGAUGUGAAAGCCCAGGGCUUAACCUUGGAAUUGCAUUCGAUACUGCUUAACUAGAGUAUGGUAGAGGGAAGUGGAAUUUCCGGUGUAGCGGUGAAAUGCGUAGAUAUCGGAAGGAACACCAGUGGCGAAGGCGACUUCCUGGGCCAAUACUGACGCCGAGGUGCGAAAGCGUGGGGAGCAAACA